UACGAAGGGUGCAAGCGUUAAUCGGAAUUACUGGGCGUAAAGCGCGCGUAGGCGGCUUUGCAAGUCGGGUGUGAAAUCCCCAGGCUUAACCUGGGAACUGCAUUCGAGACUGCAUGGCUAGAGUAUGGGAGAGGGAAGUGGAAUUUCAGGUGUAGCGGUGAAAUGCGUAGAUAUCUGAAGGAACAUCAGUGGCGAAAGCGACUUCCUGGACCAAUACUGACGCUCAUGUGCGAAAGCGUGGGGAGCAAACAGG
This 253-nucleotide ribosomal RNA is filed under the name uncultured bacterium. RNAcentral's name for it is "partial 16S ribosomal RNA". It matches the Rfam family "Bacterial small subunit ribosomal RNA", at positions 524 to 776 of the family's 1533-position model. The record is from RNAcentral.